GUAUUUAGUAGCGCAACGGAUAGCGCGUUGGAAUUCUAGUCCAAAGCUUGUGGGUUCAAACCCUAACUGGAAUG
Trichonephila clavipes is the source of this 74-nucleotide non-coding RNA. The record is from the annotation of a GenBank genome assembly. NCBI's taxonomy places the organism in Eukaryota, Metazoa, Arthropoda, Arachnida, Araneae, Nephilidae.